AACGCGAAGAACCUUACCUGGGCUCGAAAUGCUAUGGACCAGCUUAUGAAAGUAGGCCUUCCCGCAAGGGACCGUAGUAUAGGUGCUGCAUGGCUGUCGUCAGCUCGUGUCGUGAGAUGUUGGGUUAAGUCCCGCAACGAGCGCAACCCUUGUCCUGUGUUGCCAUACCGAAAGGUGGAACUCGCAGGAGACCGCCAGGGAUAACCUGGAGGAAGGUGGGGAUGACGUCAAGUCCUCAUGGCCUUUAUGUCCAGGGCUACACACGUGCUACAAUGGACGGUACAAAGGGCUGCCAACCCGCGAGGGGGAGCCAAUCCCAAAAAACCGUUCUCAGUUCGGAUUGCAGGCUGCAACUCGCCUGCAUGAAGCUGGAAUCGCUAGUAAUGGCGGAUCAGAACGCCGCCGUGAAUACGUUCCCGGGCCUUGUACACACCGCAUAC
This 440-nucleotide ribosomal RNA is filed under the name uncultured bacterium. RNAcentral's name for it is "bacterial SSU rRNA". It matches the Rfam family "Bacterial small subunit ribosomal RNA", at positions 958 to 1397 of the family's 1533-position model. The record is from RNAcentral.